UACGGCGAGUGAAGCAGCAAUAGCUCAAAUUUGAAAUCUGGCGUCUUCGACGUCCGAGUUGUAAUUUGUAGAGGAUGCUUCUGAGUAACCACCGACCUAAGUUCCUUGGAACAGGACGUCAUAGAGGGUGAGAAUCCCGUAUGCGGUCGGAAAGGUGCUCUAUACGUAGCUCCUUCGACGAGUCGAGUUGUUUGGGAAUGCAGCUCUAAAUGGGAGGUAAAUUUCUUCUAAAGCUAAAUAUUGGCCAGAGACCGAUAGCGCACAAGUAGAGUGAUCGAAAGAUGAAAAGCACUUUGGAAAGAGAGUUAAAAAGCACGUGAAAUUGUUAAAAGGGAAGGGAUUGCAACCAGACUUGCUCGCGGUGUUCCGCCGGUCUUCUGACCGGUCUACUCGCCGCGUUGCAGGCCAGCAUCGUCUGGUGCCGCUGGAUAAGACUUGAGGAAUGUAGCUCCCUCGGGAGUGUUAUAGCCUCUUGUGAUGCAGCGAGCGCCGGGCGAGGUCCGCGCUUCGGCUAGGAUGCUGGCGUAAUGGUCGUAAUCCGCCCGU
RNAcentral lists this ribosomal RNA (546 nucleotides) under soil fungal sp. DM2-152. RNAcentral describes it as "eukaryotic LSU rRNA". It matches the Rfam family "Eukaryotic large subunit ribosomal RNA", at positions 85 to 652 of the family's 3401-position model. The record is from RNAcentral. Lineage: Eukaryota; Fungi.